Molecule: transfer RNA, 86 nt
Filed under: Acidobacteriaceae bacterium
Lineage: Bacteria; Pseudomonadati; Acidobacteriota; Terriglobia; Terriglobales; Acidobacteriaceae
Also listed under: 2 other names
Description: tRNA-Leu
Rfam family: tRNA
About the family: Transfer RNA (tRNA) molecules are approximately 80 nucleotides in length.
Source: RNAcentral
GCGGUCGUGGCGGAAUUGGCAGACGCGCAUGCUUGAGGUGCAUGUACCCAAAAGGUGUGGAGGUUCAAGUCCUCUCGACCGCACCA